This 1122-nucleotide long non-coding RNA is filed under the name Homo sapiens (human). RNAcentral's name for it is "non-protein coding lnc-EEF2KMT-11:2". Lineage: Eukaryota; Metazoa; Chordata; Mammalia; Primates; Hominidae. The record is from RNAcentral.
AUAACAAGCAGGGCACAUGGGCAGCGACUACCCCCACUCACAGCCAAAGCAGCAAAUACCUGCAGACAGCAUCCUCCCCUGCCUGGACUCAGCCUGAAAACCACAUCCUAAGGCUGCCACGUAUUUACUUGUAAAAUACUAUGCUAAAACCAGAGUGCAAAAUUAUGUGUUGGGCAUUCAAAGCUAUGUGAGGAUGAGGAGCAUACUUCUGGAGCAUCAGCUGAAUUCCACGGUGGAUCCCUUCAUGAGUCCAGUCUCUGCUCUUCCUAGGCACAUGGCCAGGACCCAGAGAUUCCCUCGGAGCUUCCUGGUGCACCCUCACCCAGCUGUAGACUAGAAGGAACCCCUCUGCCAUUUUUGCCACCUCAUCCAUCCAAUUAAGCGGGCUCUCGGGGAUGAGGGAAAACGGGCUGUUUCCUUGACAGCAAAUACUCUGACUGAAACAAUUAGUUUGUCUAUUUUAAAACUGAAUUCCAAUGCUUCCAUGGCAACCAAAGUUAUUAAAAGAUGUAAAUUAAAGUGUUGCACAGGAAAGAUGGCUUGGCAUAGAAGGCGCUUGUUUUGGGGAAAGAACACAAAGAACUUGAAACCAAGGGCAUCCCCCUACCUGGACGUGUGCUGCGAUCAGCUGGUGCACUGAAACGGCUCCAGCCAUCCGACAGCUCCUCCCGUGCCCUUGGCUUCUACCACUGCCUCACAUCAGGGACACCUCUGUCCCUCACAUGCACGAGAGAGAGGAGGGGGUUUACACUUUCUGAAGCCCUUUGUGCAAAGAAAAAAUCCUAAGGAGGGUAGAGAGGCAGAACUGACUUCUGUGCUGGGCCUACUAUCUGCCUACUAACAGUUACGGUUGACAAGUAUCAAGUCUUCCUGUGCCCUGGGAAUUGUGCUAAGGGAUUUGCACGCAUCUUCUCACCAAAUGCUCCUACCAGAUGAGCUAUAAUCUCAGUUCAUCCCCAUUUCACAGACUGAGAAAUUCAGAUCCAGGCGGAUGAAGCAACUGAAGGAGCCAUGUAUCCAAUGAGAGAAAAUGAAGACAAGAGCCCACAUCUGUUUGACCGUAUUCCAUUUCCUGAAUUCAAGCCAGACACAAUGUUGGGUGAAUGGAUCAUUCCAUUUAAC